UAUUCUGUGAUCUCUCAUAAUCUCCUCAUACCUCUUCUUCAUCAUUAUUCCCUCCCCUCCUUGUCCUCCAUCACCUACCAUCUCAUCUCUCUUAUCUUCCUCUACUGCCUGUUUUUCUCCUUCAUUCUCCUCCAGCUCCUGUUGUCCCCAAUCCCUUUCCAUGCCCCAGCACCUCCUGUUCUUCCCCAUCCUCCACUUCACACCUGUCCAGUUCUCCUGCAACCUUUCAUAGUCUUUUCGUCAUCCUUCACUUUCCAUCUCCUGUAUCUCUUUGUUCUCCUCUGCUUUCCACCAUCUCCUAUCCCUUUUCUUUUCUCCAUCUCUCACCUCUUCUUCUUUCACCUCAGUUUCUGUCCCUCCAGUCCACCUCCACCUUCCAUCCUUCCCCAUCCUCUUUCAGCUCUGGAUAUUGCCCUGUCUCUCCUCAUACAUUUUCUCCUGCUAUCUCACCAUCCCUUACCAUUGUUCACCUCUCAGUUUCACUUUCUCCUCAUACUCUCCCACUUCCCUAUCCCUCCUCAUUUUUUAAGCGUCCCACUUAUUUCACUGAUUUCCCCUCCACCUCUUCCUGACCUCCAGUCAUCCUCACCCAACUCACACUUCCCACUUUUGCCAUCCUUUCAUUCUCUUUCACCUCCCAACUCAAUCCUGCCUUCCAUCUUCUCCCAGCCCAUCCUCCUGCCAUUCUUUCUUUCUUCCAUCCUUCCUGCACUCUUACUGCUAGCACAUCUGCUGUUAUUGCCACCUUCUCUUCCUCCUUCCUUUGCCUUGUAUCCGAUCCCUCAACAACCCAGGAAAGUCACUUCCAUCCCUGUUGCAAGCAGGAAGGGCAGGGCUAGGUUGGAUGCAGAGACAGCCUCCCACCCCAUCCCUGCUACUCAAGACAUUUGCAUAGCAGCAGAGAUAGCCACAGCUUGCAGGUUGGAAGAUUCCUGCCAGACAUCAGGAAACACUUCUUUCUUGGUACAGCUGGUACUGGUCACUGGGGAAGUGGGAGGAUUUCUGCUCUUGGAAAAUUACAAAACUCAGCUGAAGUCACUGGUUCUGACUCGUUAG
This 1056-nucleotide long non-coding RNA is filed under the name Meleagris gallopavo (turkey). RNAcentral's name for it is "lncRNA (ENSMGAG00000022199.1)". The record is from RNAcentral. Lineage: Eukaryota; Metazoa; Chordata; Aves; Galliformes; Phasianidae.